UGGCCUGUGCAGAUCUCUGUCUCUCAGACC
RNAcentral lists this non-coding RNA (30 nucleotides) under Rattus norvegicus (Norway rat). Lineage: Eukaryota; Metazoa; Chordata; Mammalia; Rodentia; Muridae. The record is from RNAcentral.